Molecule: long non-coding RNA, 3553 nt
Organism: Oncorhynchus tshawytscha (Chinook salmon)
Lineage: Eukaryota; Metazoa; Chordata; Actinopteri; Salmoniformes; Salmonidae
Source: Ensembl
GCAAAUUAUGGUGGAAAAUAAGUAUUUGGUCAAUAACAAAAGUUUAUCUCAAUACUUUGUCAUAUACUCUUUGUUGGCAAUGACAGAGGUCAAACAUUUUCUGUAAGUCUUCACAAGGUUUUCCUGAACAUGGGGGUUGUUUCCAGAGACUCAAGGUACAACAGCUGUACUGUGUUGGAGCCAGUAAGGAGUUCUGGCAGCACAAACAUAAUGUCUCUAGGUUUCUCCCUAGGUUCCUGACUUUCUAGGGAGUUUUUCCUAGCCACUGUGCUUCUACACCUGAAUUGCUUGCUGUCUGGGGUUUUAGGCUGUGUUUCUGUACAGCACUUUGUGACAUCAGCUGAUAUAAAAUGGGCUUUAUAAAUACAUUUGAUUGAAUGAAUCCAUCGACAGACUACUUCGUAAGUUAUCAAUUUUGUAAGGUUGAGAAAUUAGAAACUAUUAAGAGGAAGGAUGUUUGUAAAUGUAUGUAGAAAAUGGGUCAUAUCUUCAGAAGAUUCUCACAUUGUUUGUGAUACAAAUGUAAAAAGCAUAUUUCCCCAAUAAAGCUUCUAUGUGAGAAUUGCCAGACAACUCUGGGACACCCACACUGGUGUAAAGUCACCCUAAUUACAUACAAUAGACAUUUAAAAUCAUACCACACCGCACGCUUUGCAAAAUAAAUGUACACAUACAUGUUAUUCAAUAAUUGCAUCCAAACUGCUUGCGAGCGUCUGAGUAGACAGGCGUUAAAAUAGAACUUGGUUAAAUUUGUGACACUUGACACGCUGCAAGUUCCAUCUCUCCCAUCUCCUUAUUGUUUUUUAGGAGCAUAUACCCACGUGGGUGAUUGAAAGAUGAACUCCAGUGCAGUUGGUGGUGGUAAUGCACCUUAAAGUUGGUUGUCAACCGCCAUAUAAAGUUCAAAGAAGAAGAAGACCGAAGGAGAAGAGAUGACAAGAAACAAACUCGGUUGACGGUUUUAUCUCUGGAUUAAUUGUCAGAGUAGAGGACCUUGUGCAUUUCAGGUAAAAUAACAACACAAUGUUUAUAUCCCAGGACAAAUUUGCUAGCAAUAGCAAGCUAGCUAGCUAAAUGGCCAUACAUUUUUAAUUAUUUUCGACCUGUCCCCAAAUUAAUAUAGUUGGUUCAGAGUUUGUUUUGAUAUUUCAACCUGUGUGUCCUGAUUGAGUCUGAUAUGGAUGGACAAAAACCAACAUGUGCGCAAUGUCGUGCAUGCUCAGUCUAGUCAGCAUUGUGCCCAGUACUGUUCUUAUACAGCAAUGGAGAAUGAGACCAAGGAAAGCCUCUCCGCCGUGACCAUCGACAGAAGGGAGGAGCUCCUGCAGAAUGGAGAAAGAGGGCUUCAUAAGGACAAUGGACAAGCUGGUGACCCAAGUCCCACUGACUGAAGUUUGUACUGAUGCCCAAAUGUCUUCCCUAAGGAGUAAGUUGUUUCUUUUGAAUUUAACAAUACACAACUAGACAACAGACAAUACAUGGCUCCAACAGUAUAAACUUAUAGAAAUUCAAGAAUAGUCAUUUCAUCUCUUGAAUUUCAGUUUUUCAGAACCAGAGACGGUACAUGGAGCUGGAACUUCAUGAGGAAGUAAUGCAAUCAUCACUUUGCUUGGUUUCAUUUAGUUGAUGUUUCAACUGAAAUGCCUAUUGAGAUAAUUCUCUUAACCCCUCAAAACAUAGUUUAAAAAAGGCUGGGCAGCAGGCAGGGUACUCCACCAUUCUCCAGUGGAGUAAGGACAUAGUCAACCACUUCUCCAGUAAGGACAUAGUCAACCACUCCUCCAGUAAGGAUAUAGUCAAUCACUUCUCCAGUAAGGACAUAGUCAACCACUUCUCCAGUAAGGACAUAGUCAACCACUUCUCCAGUAAGGAUAUAGUCAAUCACUUCUCCAGUAAGGACAUAGUCAACCACUUCUCCAGUAAGGACAUGGUCAACCACUUCUCCAGUAAGGUCAUAGUCAACCACUUCUCCAGUAAGGACAUAGUCAAUCACUCCUCCAGUGUAGUAAGGACAUAGUCAACCACUUCUCCAGUAAGGACAUAGUCAACCACUUCUCCAUUAAGGACACAGUCAACCACUUCUCCAGUAAGGACAUAGUCAACCACUUCUCCAGUAAGGUCAUAGUCAAUCACUUCUCCAGUAAGGACAUAGUCAACCACUUCUCCAGUAAGGACACAGUCAACCACUUCUCCAGUAAGGACAUAGUCAACCACUUCUCCAGUAAGGACAUAGUCAACCACUUCUCCAGUAAGGACAUAGUCAACCACUUCUCCAGUGUAGUAAGGACACAGUCAACCACUUCUCCAGUGUAGUAAGGACACAGUCAAACACUUCUCCAGUGUAGUAAGGACACAGUCAACCACUUCUCCAUUAAGGACACAGUCAACCACUUCUCCAGUAAGGACACAGUCAACCACUUCUCCAUUAAGGACACAGUCAACCACUUCUCCAGUAAGGUCAUAGUCAACCACUUCUCCAGUAAGGUCAUAGUCAAUCACUUCUCCAGUAAGGACAUAGUCAACCACUUCUCCAGUAAGGAUACAGUCAACCACUUCUCCAGUAAGUAUACAGUCAACCACUUCUCCAUUAAGGACACAGUCAACCACUUCUCCAGUAAGGACACAGUCAACCACUUCUCCAGUAAGGUCAUAGUCAACCACUUCUCCAGUAAGGACAUAGUCAACCACUUCUCCUUCCUGUUUGUCCCUGUCCGGGGGUAUCAUCGGAUGGGGCCACAGUGUCUCCUGACCCUUCCUGUCUCAGCCUCCAGUAUUUAUGCUGCAGUAGUUUAAUGUGUCGGGGGCUAGGGUCAGUCUGUUAUAUCUGGAGUAUUUCUCCUGUGUGACUUUAAGUAUGCUCUCUCUUUCUUUCUCUCUCUCGGAGGACCUGAGCCCUAGGACCAUGCCUCAGGACUACCUGGCCUGAUGACUCCUUGCUGUCCCCAGUCCACCUGGCCUGGCCAUGCUGCUGCUCCAGUUUCAACUGUUCUGCCUGCGGCUAUGGAACCCUGACCUGUUCACCGGAGGUGCUACCUGUCCCAGACCUGCUGUUUUCAACUCUCUAGAGACAGCAGGAGCGGUAGAGAUACGCUUAAUGAUCAGCUAUGAAAAGCCAACUGACAUUUACUCCUGAGAUGCUGACUUGCUGCACCCUCGACAAUUACUGUGAUUAUUAUUAUUUGACCCUGCUGGUCAUUUAUGAACAUUUGAACAUCUUGGCCAUGUUAUGUUAUAAUCUCCACCCAGCACCCCUCAUAGCCUGGUUCUUCUCUAGGUUUCUUCCUAGGUUCGAGCCUUUCUAGGGAGUUUUUCCUGGCCACCGUGCUUCUACUCCUGCAUUGCUUGCUGUUUGGGGUUUUAUGCUGGGUUUUUGUACAGCACUUUGUGACAUCAGUUGAUGUACGAAGGGCUAUAUAAAUAAAUUUGAUUGAUUGAUUGAUAGUCAACCACUUCUGGUCGUGCUGUACGAAGGCUGGGACACAUGAAGAGUUCAUUGUAAGUGAAAUACUGUGGCACUAAGAACAGUGGAUGAUUUAUAUUGGUAAUGGCUGGU